GCAAUGGUGGUUCAGUGGUAGAAUUCUCACCUUCCAUGUGGGAGAUCCUGGUUUGAUUCCCAGCCAGUGUA
This 71-nucleotide transfer RNA is filed under the name Loxodonta africana (African savanna elephant). It matches the Rfam family "tRNA". From Rfam's summary of the family: Transfer RNA (tRNA) molecules are approximately 80 nucleotides in length. Their secondary structure includes four short double-helical elements and three loops (D, anti-codon, and T loops). Lineage: Eukaryota; Metazoa; Chordata; Mammalia; Proboscidea; Elephantidae. The record is from Rfam by way of RNAcentral.